UACGGGAGGCAGCAGUGGGGAAUAUUGGGCAAUGGGCGAAAGCCUGACCCAGCAACGCCGCGUGAAGGAAGAAGGCUUUCGGGUUGUAAACUUCUUUUAACAGGGACGAAGAAGUGACGGUACCUGUUGAAUAAGCCACGGCUAACUACGUGCCAGCAGCCGCGGUAAU
This 169-nucleotide ribosomal RNA is filed under the name uncultured rumen bacterium. Its description in RNAcentral is "partial 16S ribosomal RNA". It matches the Rfam family "Bacterial small subunit ribosomal RNA", at positions 340 to 524 of the family's 1533-position model. The record is from RNAcentral.